RNAcentral lists this unclassified non-coding RNA (89 nucleotides) under Pseudomonas salomonii. Lineage: Bacteria; Pseudomonadati; Pseudomonadota; Gammaproteobacteria; Pseudomonadales; Pseudomonadaceae. The record is from RNAcentral.
UGUGGGAGCGGGCUUGCUCGCGAAUGCUGUGUGUCAGUUGCUGGUUCAUUGACUGACACACCGCAUUCGCGAGCAAGCCCGCUCCCACA